AGAAGAUCCAGGGCUGUUGAAGCUGCGGUGGAACUGAGACAUCAUCAUCCACAUAUCUUCAGUUCUUCUUGCUAAGAGAACGAGAAACUCGGACACAACAGUACAUCCUGACCAUUGGUACUGUGUACACAUCAACAUACACACACGUCUCCAUGCUGGACAUCUCAGGAGCUUUCACACAGUGCUAGGAAUAUCCCGGGACAGAGAAACGCACCUUCUAAGAACAGAAAUGAUCUUUCGAGGCAGCUUCUUCAUCACUACCUGCUCCGUUUGACUCAAAAAUGUAACGACCGGUUUCAAAAAGUCACGAUGUCUUCAGUUC
This is a long non-coding RNA of Ictalurus punctatus (channel catfish), 322 nucleotides long. The record is from Ensembl. Lineage: Eukaryota; Metazoa; Chordata; Actinopteri; Siluriformes; Ictaluridae.